Molecule: ribosomal RNA, 501 nt
Filed under: uncultured bacterium
Lineage: Bacteria
Description: partial 16S ribosomal RNA
Rfam family: Bacterial small subunit ribosomal RNA
Source: RNAcentral
GACGAACGCUGGCGGCGUGCCUAAUACAUGCAAGUCGAGCGGACCGGAUUGGGGCUUGCCUUGAUUCGGUCAGCGGCGGACGGGUGAGUAACACGUGGGCAACCUGCCCGCAAGACCGGGAUAACUCCGGGAAACCGGAGCUAAUACCGGAUAACACCGAAGACCGCAUGGUCUUCGGUUGAAAGGCGGCCUUUGGGCUGUCACUUGCGGAUGGGCCCGCGGCGCAUUAGCUAGUUGGUGAGGUAACGGCUCACCAAGGCGACGAUGCGUAGCCGGCCUGAGAGGGUGACCGGCCACACUGGGACUGAGACACGGCACAGACUCCUACGGGAGGCAGCAGUAGGGAAUCUUCCGCAAUGGGCGAAAGCCUGACGGAGCGACGCCGCGUGAGCGAAGAGGGCCUUCGGGUCGUAAAGCUCUGUUGUGAGGGACGAAGGAGCGUCGUUCGAAGAGGGCGGCGCGGUGACGGUACCUCACGAGAAAGCCCCGGCUAACUACGUG